RNAcentral lists this ribosomal RNA (811 nucleotides) under uncultured Sulfolobales archaeon. Its description in RNAcentral is "bacterial SSU rRNA". It matches the Rfam family "Archaeal small subunit ribosomal RNA", at positions 85 to 879 of the family's 1478-position model. Lineage: Archaea; Thermoproteati; Thermoproteota; Thermoprotei; Sulfolobales. The record is from RNAcentral.
ACKGCUCAGUAACACGUAGCUAACCUAACCCCGGGACGGGUAUACCCCCGGGAAACUGGGGACAAUGCCCGAUAGGCGUGGGCUCCUGGAAUGGUUCCACGCCCAAACGUUAGCUCGCCCAUGUCGCGAGCACACGCCCGAGGAUGGGGCUGCGGCCGAUCAGGCUGUUGGUGAGGUAACGGCUCACCAAACCGUUGACCGGUACGGGCCGUGAGAGCGGUAGCCCGGAGAUGGACACUGAGACAAGGGCCCAGGCCCUACGGGGCGCAGCAGGGGCGAAACCUCCACAAUGCACGAAAGUGUGAUGGGGUUACCUCGAGUGCCGCCUGAAAAAGGCGGCUUUUCCAUGGUGUAAUGCGCCGUGGGAAUAAGGGGGGGGCAAGACUGGUGUCAGCCGCCGCGGUAAUACCAGCUCUCCGAGUGGUGGGGACGUUUAUUGGGCCUGAAGCAUCCGUAGCCAGCUGAGCAAGUCCCCAGUUAAAUCCAGCGAUUUAAUCGUUGGACUGCUGGGGAUACUGUCCGGCUAGGGGGUGGGAGAGGCCGACGGUAUUCCCGGGGUAGGGGUGAAAUCCUAUAAUCCCGGGAGGACCACCAGUGGCGAAGGCUGUUGGCUAGAACAUGCCCGACGGUGAGGGAUGAAAGCUGGGGGAGCGAACCGGAUUAGAUACCCGGGUAGUCCCAGCUGUAAACGAUGCAGGCUAGGUGUUAGGGCGGCCACGUGCCGCUCUAGUGCCGCAGGGAAACUGUUAAGCCUGCCGCCUGGGGAGUACGGCCGCAAGGCUGAAACUUAAAGGAAUUGGCGGGGGAGCAC